UGGUCUUGACAUAGAAAGAACUUUCCAGAGAUGGAUUGGUGCCUGCUUGCAGGAGAUUUCAUACAGGUGCUGCACGGCUGUCGUCAGCUCGUGUCGUGAGAUGUUGGGUUAAGUCCCGCAACGACCGCAACCCUCGUCGUUAGUUGCUAACAGUUCAGCUGAGAACUCUAACGAGACUGCCUACGCAAGUAGGAGGAAGGUGAGGACGACGUCAAGUCAUCAUGGCCCUUACGACCAGGGCUACACACGUGCUACAAUGGGGUAUACAAAGAGCAACAAUACGGUGACAUGGAGCGAAUCUCAAAAAUGCCUCCCAGUUCGGAUUGAAGUCUGCAACUCGACUACGUGAAGUUGGAAUCGCUAAUAAUCGUAGAUCAGCUAUGCUACGGUGAAUACCUUUCCGGUGCU
This 408-nucleotide ribosomal RNA is filed under the name uncultured bacterium. Its description in RNAcentral is "bacterial SSU rRNA". It matches the Rfam family "Bacterial small subunit ribosomal RNA", at positions 976 to 1381 of the family's 1533-position model. The record is from RNAcentral.